This 363-nucleotide ribosomal RNA is filed under the name uncultured bacterium. RNAcentral describes it as "bacterial SSU rRNA". It matches the Rfam family "Bacterial small subunit ribosomal RNA", at positions 28 to 392 of the family's 1533-position model. The record is from RNAcentral.
GACGAACGCUGGCGGCGUGCUUAACACAUGCAAGUCGAGCGGUAAGGCCCUUUCGGGGGUACACGAGCGGCGAACGGGUGAGUAACACGUGGGUGACCUGCCCUCAGCUCUGGGAUAAGCCUGGGAAACCGGGUCUAAUACUGGAUAUGACUCCAUGACGCAUGUUGUGGGGUGGAAAGCCUUGUGCGGCUGAGGAUGGGCCCGCGGCCUAUCAGCUUGUUGGUGGGGUGANGGCCUACCAAGGCGACGACGGGUAGCCGGCCUGAGAGGGCGACCGGCCACACUGGGACUGAGACACGGCCCAGACUCCUACGGGAGGCAGCAGUGGGGAAUCUUGCGCAAUGGGCGAAAGCCUGACGCAGC